Carassius gibelio (silver crucian carp) is the source of this 1121-nucleotide long non-coding RNA. RefSeq lists it as uncharacterized. The record is from RefSeq and is a predicted model, not a curated record. NCBI's taxonomy places the organism in Eukaryota, Metazoa, Chordata, Actinopteri, Cypriniformes, Cyprinidae. The transcript has 3 exons.
CAACUACAGCAGCAGAGUAAUAACGCUAUUCCGUUGAUUGCUUGAGGUGAGUAAAAGUGGUUGUGUAAAUAUCUUAUAAUAUGAAAUGCGAUGUUCGAUCAUUUAUUUAUCCAUGGUACGUUCAAUUUGAAUAAUUAUUGUUAAUAAUUGUUAUAAAUUGCUAAUUUUAUUGUUCUUUGUGGAUUGUAACAGUACACUCUGUACAUGGGUUUAGUUCAUUCGAUUUUACAGAGGUAUGGCAUCACAUUUGUCAAGUUAUUUGAACAGACAUGCAUGAUUUUUGUGUGUAUAUUAUUAUUAUUAUUAUUUUUCAGGAUGACAUGAUCAGGAGGUGGUGGUGUUCUGUUCUCCUGGACAGCUUUACUCCGCAAAUGUAUGUAGCUGUUUGAAUGUUGCUACAUGAAACAUUACUCUGUACUAUAUCUAGCAAUAUACCUACCUCUUGACAUUUGUUCUUUUAGAGCUCAAACACUGAGGGGAGGAACUUCACUAUUCACCAUGUCUUCAGGCAGAGUCCAGCAAAGCAGCUUCCACUGGAAAUCCUCAGGGAAGUUAUUUUGUCGGCGGGUAACUCUCCAUAUUUGACACUUUCUCUGGUUUGCAGAUGGUUUAGGGAUGUGCUCCGAAGUUUUUCGGAAAGCGGCACAGUUUGCCUGGCUAGAGAUUGUGGCCAACUGGAAGAAUUGUCCUCCUGUCUCCUGACCGGAACGAGUUCAGACGGAUGUACAGCAUCAGGGAAUGCGUGCAGUGCAGAGCCCUUUUCAAGUUUAACCCACUGGGUACAGGGAAGAGACCGGCGUGGUGAUCUUCUGGGCUUUUGUUUACACAGGAUUUUGUUCCAAGGACUGUUUUUUUUUUUUUUUGGCAUGAAACACAUUUGUGUGUUAAGUUCAUUGAAGGGAAAUAGUUGAACUGAGAUCAACUGGUUUUGAUGUAUUAAUUGAUGUCAUUUAAAGUUAAACUUUGCACUGUAUAAUGUUUUAAUAAAAAAGCUAUGGAAAACACGUGCAUGACAACAGGUUUCAGUCAUUUACAUCAGUCUAUCAUUCUUUAAGGUUUCUCAUAUUUGAUGAUAACAUGAUUUGCUAUGCAUUGCUCAUAAUGGAUUCUUAGUUUAGUUG